AGGGAUGUAGCUCAGUGGUAGAGCACUUGGCUAGCAUGCACAAGGCCCUGAGUUCAAUCCCCAGCACCACCA
RNAcentral lists this transfer RNA (72 nucleotides) under Cavia porcellus (domestic guinea pig). It matches the Rfam family "tRNA". Rfam says of the family: Transfer RNA (tRNA) molecules are approximately 80 nucleotides in length. Their secondary structure includes four short double-helical elements and three loops (D, anti-codon, and T loops). Lineage: Eukaryota; Metazoa; Chordata; Mammalia; Rodentia; Caviidae. The record is from Rfam by way of RNAcentral.